RNAcentral lists this ribosomal RNA (443 nucleotides) under uncultured bacterium. RNAcentral's name for it is "partial 16S ribosomal RNA". It matches the Rfam family "Bacterial small subunit ribosomal RNA", at positions 338 to 795 of the family's 1533-position model. The record is from RNAcentral.
CCUACGGGUGGCUGCAGUGGGGGAUAUUGGACAAUGGGGGAAACCCUGAUCCAGCGACGCCGCGUGAGUGAAGAAGUAUUUCGGGAUGUAAAGCUCUGUCAGCAGGGAAGAAAGAAAUGACGGUACCUGACCAAGAAGCCCCGGCUAACUACGUUCCAGCAGCCCCGGGGAUACGUAGGGGGCAAGCGUUAUCCGGAAUUACUGGGGGUAAAGGGAGGGUAGACGGUGAUGCAAGUCUGGAGUGAAAGGCGGGGGCCCAACCCCCGGACUGCUCUGGAAACUGUGUAACUUGAGUGCAGGAGAGGUAAGCGGAAUGCCUAGUGUAGCGGUGAAAUGCGUAGAUAUUAGGAGGAACACCAGUGGCGAAGGCGGCUUACUGGACUGUAACUGACGUUGAGGCUCGAAAGCGUGGGGAGCAAACAGGAUUAGAUACCCCAGUAGUC